AUUGAACGCUGGCGGCAUGCUUUACACAUGCAAGUCGGACGGCAGCACAGAGAAGCUUGCUUCUUGGGUGGCGAGUGGCGAACGGGUGAGUAACAUAUCGGAACGUACCGAGCAGUGGGGGAUAACUAAUCGAAAGAUUAGCUAAUACCGCAUAUCUUCUGAGGAAGAAAGCGGGGGACCAUUUGGCCUUGCGCUGUUUGAGCGGCCGAUAUCUGAUUAGCUAGUUGGUGGGGUAAAGGCCUACCAAGGCGACGAUCAGUAGCGGGUCUGAGAGGAUGAUCAGCCACACUGGGACUGAGACACGGCCCAGACUCCUACGGGAGGCAGCAGUGGGGAAUUUUGGACAAUGGGCGCAAGCCUGAUCCAGCAAUGCCGCGUGUCUGAAGAAGGCCUUCGGGUUGUAAAGGACUUUUGUCAGGGAAGAAAAGGGCGGGGUUAAUACCCCUGUCUGAUGACGGUACCGGAAGAAUAAGCACCGGCUAACUACGUG
RNAcentral lists this ribosomal RNA (490 nucleotides) under uncultured bacterium. Its description in RNAcentral is "partial 16S ribosomal RNA". It matches the Rfam family "Bacterial small subunit ribosomal RNA", at positions 30 to 507 of the family's 1533-position model. The record is from RNAcentral.